Molecule: ribosomal RNA, 460 nt
Filed under: uncultured bacterium
Lineage: Bacteria
Description: partial 16S ribosomal RNA
Rfam family: Bacterial small subunit ribosomal RNA
Source: RNAcentral
CCUACGGGAGGCAGCAGUGAGGAAUAUUGGUCAAUGGGCGUAAGCCUGAACCAGCCAAGUAGCGUGAGGGAUGACGGCUCUAUGGAUCGUAAACCUCUUUUAUAAGGGAAUAAAGUGCGACACGUGUCCUGUUUUGUAUGUACCUCAUGAAUAAGGACCGGCUAAGUCCGUGCCAGCAGCCGCGGUAAUACGGAGGAUCCGAGCGUUAUCCGGAUUUAUUGGGUUUAAAGGGUGCGUAGGCGGCCUUUUAAGUCUGCGGUGAAAGUCCGUGGCUCAACCAUGGAACUGCCGUGGAAACUGGGUGGCUUGAGUGUGUUGAAGGCAGGCGGAAUGCGUGGUGUAGCGGUGAAAUGCUUAGAUAUCACGAAGAACCCCGAUUGCGAAGGCAGCCUGCGGAGGCGUGACUGACGCUGAUGCACGAAGGCGUGGGGAUCGAACAGGAUUAGAUACCCCAGUAGUC